Callithrix jacchus (white-tufted-ear marmoset) is the source of this 107-nucleotide small nuclear RNA. The record is from Ensembl. Lineage: Eukaryota; Metazoa; Chordata; Mammalia; Primates; Cebidae.
AUGCUCGCUUCAGCAGCACAUGCACUAAAAUUGGAAUGAUACAGAGAAGAUUAGCGUGGCCCCUGAGCAAGGAUGACACGCACAUUUGUGAAGUGUUCCAUUAAAAA